GAGGAGGCGGGAGAGGCUGCUCUAAGGGAGGACAUGGUGAGAAUGAUAAUGAGUCUGAGCUCAGUCAGACUUGAAUUUGAGAUGAUUGCAAUGAUGACACCAGGAAAAUGAGGGCUCAUUGUUCAGACCUUAUGACUUCAGAAUUGGCUGAGUGUCUUAGAGGAGUGGGCCUGUGACCAUCACAACACAACAGACAAGAGACUUUCUAUUACAGUCAAUCCCACUGGCAGAAAAAUAAAAUGCUAAGUUUUACUGUUUUACUGUUCAUUAGUAAUAUGUCAGUGAUUUAGAAGUUGUUCUGAUGCAACUGAAAGAAACCCACAGCAAAACAGAUGAAGGUGUAACAUUUUUAUGGAAGAUAGAAUUUGGUUUGGCUCUGUUGCACUCUGAUUUUGGAUGGAUAUUUAAACAAGUUUGAUUUUUCUU
Long non-coding RNA from Oxyura jamaicensis (ruddy duck), 426 nucleotides. RefSeq lists it as uncharacterized. The record is from RefSeq and is a predicted model, not a curated record. NCBI's taxonomy places the organism in Eukaryota, Metazoa, Chordata, Aves, Anseriformes, Anatidae. The transcript has 3 exons.